Molecule: ribosomal RNA, 506 nt
Filed under: uncultured Glomeromycotina
Lineage: Eukaryota; Fungi; Glomeromycota
Description: SSU rRNA
Rfam family: Eukaryotic small subunit ribosomal RNA
Source: RNAcentral
AGCAGCCGCGGUAAUUCCAGCUCCAAUAGCGUAUAUUAAAGUUGUUGCAGUUAAAAAGCUCGUAGUUGAAUUUCGGGAUCAAAUUGUUGGUCGUGCUUCGGUACGCACUGGCAUUAUUGGUUCCUACCUUCUGAAGAACCGCGAUGUCAUUAAUUUGGUGUCGUGGGGAAUCAGGACUGUUACUUUGAAAAAAUUAGAGUGUUUAAAGCAGGCGUACGCUUGAAUACAUUAGCAUGGAAUAAUGAAAUAGGACGUUUGAUUCUAUUUUGUUGGUUUCUAGGAUCGACGUAAUGAUUAAUAGGGAUAGUUGGGGGCAUUAGUAUUCAAUUGUCAGAGGUGAAAUUCUUGGAUUUAUUGAAGACUAACUACUGCGAAAGCAUUUGCCAAGGAUGUUUUCACUAAUCAAGAACGAAAGUUAGGGGAUCGAAGACGAUCAGAUACCGUCGUAGUCUUAACCAUAAACUAUGCCGACUAGGGAUCGGAUGAUGUUAAUUUUAUAAUGACUC